GCCGGGAUUGAGCAAUCCGGCUGCUCGCCUGCCUCGAGAGCAGGUUUCCGCAAGGAUGUGGGGGUUCAAAUCCCUCUCCCGGCG
RNAcentral lists this transfer RNA (84 nucleotides) under Candidatus Woesearchaeota archaeon. It matches the Rfam family "tRNA". From Rfam's summary of the family: Transfer RNA (tRNA) molecules are approximately 80 nucleotides in length. Their secondary structure includes four short double-helical elements and three loops (D, anti-codon, and T loops). Lineage: Archaea; Nanobdellati; Candidatus Woesearchaeota. The record is from Rfam by way of RNAcentral.